Molecule: ribosomal RNA, 256 nt
Filed under: uncultured prokaryote
Description: partial 16S ribosomal RNA
Rfam family: Bacterial small subunit ribosomal RNA
Source: RNAcentral
CGUAGGGUGCGAGCGUUGUCCGGAAUUACUGGGCGUAAAGAGCUCGUAGGUGGUUUGUCGCGUCGUCUGUGAAAUUCCGGGGCUUAACUUCGGGCGUGCAGGCGAUACGGGCAAUACUUGAGUGCUGUAGGGGAGACUGGAAUUCCUGGUGUAGCGGUGGAAUGCGCAGAUAUCAGGAGGAACACCGAUGGCGAAGGCAGGUCUCUGGGCAGUAACUGACGCUGAGGAGCGAAAGCAUGGGUAGCGAGCAGGAUUA